GUGGAGAGCUCAAUGAUAGCAUUAGCAUUUCCCCCAUAAGAAAGUAUUGUAUAAUGCUCUCCUACAAGGUUUUGAGUGACGCUGGAUGUCACUCAAAACCCUUUGGAUUAUGCAGCAUGUCACUCAAAGCCCCAUAGUCGGUAACCACCCGAAAGUCCCUCUAGUGACUGUCUGGCAGACAGCCACUCGCGGUAGGGUUAAU
This is a non-coding RNA of Pelobates cultripes (western spadefoot toad), 202 nucleotides long. Lineage: Eukaryota; Metazoa; Chordata; Amphibia; Anura; Pelobatidae. The record is from the annotation of a GenBank genome assembly.